Molecule: ribosomal RNA, 597 nt
Filed under: Polyodon spathula (Mississippi paddlefish)
Lineage: Eukaryota; Metazoa; Chordata; Actinopteri; Acipenseriformes; Polyodontidae
Description: partial 28S ribosomal RNA
Rfam family: Eukaryotic large subunit ribosomal RNA
Source: RNAcentral
UAACCAGUGAUUCCCCCAGUAAUGACGAGUGAAGAGGGAAGAGCCCAGCGCCGAAUCGCCGCCAGCCCCGGCGGGUGAGCGAAAUGUGACGUAUGGAAGACCGCGUCCUCAACGUCGACCGGGGGGUGGGCCCAAGUCCUUCUGAUUGAAGCUCCCGCAGACGGUGUGAGGCCGGUGGCGACCCCCGUCGCGCCAGGGUCAGGUCUUCUCUGAGUCGGGUUGUUUGCGAAUGCAGCCCAAAGCGGGUGGUAAACUCUAUCUAAGGCUAAAUACGGGCACGAGACCCAUAGCCAACAAGUACCAUGAGGGAAAGUUGAAAAGAACUUUGAAGAGAGAGUUCAAGAGGGCGUGAAACCGUCAAGAGGUAAACGGAUGGGGUCUGCACAGUCCACCCGGAGGGUUCAACCCAUCGGGGUGCCGAGGGCCGGAAAGCUCACUCAGGGGUCGGCGGCGGCGGCGGAUGGGCCCGGUGUUUCGUCUGCAUGGCCCGGGGGUUUCAGGAAGGUGGCUCGGCGACCCCCACUGAGCGUUACAUCCCCCCCUGCCGCAAUCGACUGCUCGCCGGGCCGAGGGAGAAGACUACCGCCGCGCCCGCCC